Molecule: ribosomal RNA, 427 nt
Filed under: uncultured bacterium
Lineage: Bacteria
Description: bacterial SSU rRNA
Rfam family: Bacterial small subunit ribosomal RNA
Source: RNAcentral
UGAGGAAUAUUGGACAAUGGGGGAAACCCUGAUCCAGCGACGCCGCGUGAGUGAUGAAGGCCUUCGGGUUGUAAAGCUCUGUGGAGGGGGACGAAUAAGUCGGAGCGAACAGCUCCGAUGAUGACGGUACCCUUUUAGCAAGCACCGGCUAACUCUGUGCCAGCAGCCGCGGUAAGACAGAGGGUGCAAACGUUGUUCGGAAUUACUGGGCGUAAAGCGCGUGUAGGCGGCUCUGAUAAGUGAGGUGUGAAAGCCCUGGGCUCAACCCAGGAAGUGCACUUCAAACUAUCGAGCUUGAAUGCUGGAGAGGAAAGCGGAAUUCUCGGUGUAGAGGUGAAAUUCGUAGAUAUCGAGAGGAACACCCGUGGCGAAGGCGGCUUUCUGGCUGGAUACUGACGCUGAGGCGCGAAAGCGUGGGGAGCAAACA